AUGUUUUUUUUAUCCCAUAUGUCAUCAGUGACAAUCAAGUACCUUUUGUUGAUUAGCUGUCUUUCAUCCAACUCCGGGUACUUUUGGCCGUCAAUUUCAAGGAGUAUGUCAUUGAGAACUUUCUUCACGCUAGGGUUCCGUCCAACCGGAACAAAAGCACAGCAAUCAAAUUGCGCUUUAAGCUUAUCAUACACUGCUUUGGCAAGAGUUGUCUUGCCAAGGCCUCCGAAUCCGAAAAUAGAGAGUAUCUUGAGUUGCUUGGACGCAUCAGCAUCCCCAUCACUCAUCAUAUUGGUUAGCUCAUUCAACGAAUCAUCAAUACCAACGAGCUCUUUCUGGUCCUUGUAUAAAGCCAAUAGGCGAGGGUCAACCGGGGUUGCGCCAACAGGAUUAGCAACCACGUCGUCGACCCUGUACCUAUCACGUCGGUCAGCCGCCUCCUUGACGCGGACUUUGAUGUCUCUGAUCUCAUCAGAGAUCUCAUGGCGAGUCUUGCUCUUGCUGAACAAGUUCCCCAUCUUCUUCAUGAGCUUCUUGAGUUUGUGUGGCUUGAUGGCUGGUUCAGCUCCCUCGACGCGCACCAGGAACUUGUCGACGACGUCCUCCAUUCUGAAUGACAAGUCCCUGACUUGGUUGGCCCAGAGCUUGACCUGCUCGUCGAGCUGGUCUCGCGGCACGCCCCCAACCUUGCGGAGGGCAGCAUGCAUGCUCUCCAGCUCUCUCUCUAGAUACUCAACAUCUUCCUUGACGCCCGUCUGGAGCUUGUACUCCUCCGUGAGGAGUUGGCCAAGCUUGAGGAGGAGGCUGCCCAUGGCCCCCGUCGCGAGGUCCAUGGUCGCUCUCAGCAGCUGGGUUGCUGGAGAAUAUGCUGCUAUAGGCUGCAGAUCUACUUGCUGCUGUUGGAUUUGA
This 909-nucleotide ribosomal RNA is filed under the name Triticum aestivum (bread wheat). Its description in RNAcentral is "partial small subunit ribosomal RNA". Lineage: Eukaryota; Viridiplantae; Streptophyta; Magnoliopsida; Poales; Poaceae. The record is from RNAcentral.